CUACUGGUUCCGUUAACUUACUGUGUCAGUAACAACUAGUGCAAAUUCAAAGCCUUCUCUUUGGGUUUGGAUCUCCAGCUACCUGGGUGGCAACUUGGUAGUCUUCUCUGUUACAUAUUUAAUUUACUUAAAAUAAUCUGUCCCUGGAGACAGAUUAAUUUCCCUCUAGAGAGGGAAAGCUGGAAAAGAAUUUUCUUCUAAAUGUCAAUCAAUAAAUAUUAGUUAAGUACCUGUUAUUUUUCUAGAAAUUGUCCUAGAUACUGUGUUAUUAAUGGGUAAACAAGACAGACACAGUCCCUGCCUUGGAAGGACUUGUAGUCAAAUGAACUAAAGAUGGAAAGGAUAUUCCUGGGGAUUUGGUUGGUUACAGCAGAAGAGUAAGGGAAGAUGAUGGAGAAGAAACUGAUCUGAAGAGAUGUUGUCUGUGUUAUUUCAUUACAGCAGCAGCAAUUUCUCAAUAAACAAGGGAUUUCCUAUAAGAUUUUAAAUGAAGAAAGUCUUCUACUGCUGUAUAAAAAAAAGAAAAAAGAAGAAGAAAGGUACUUACUGCCAGAUCUAAAAUUAAAUUAUUAUGUGAAUAAUGUAUUCAGAUGAUAUA
Long non-coding RNA from Rhinopithecus bieti (black snub-nosed monkey), 598 nucleotides. The record is from Ensembl. Lineage: Eukaryota; Metazoa; Chordata; Mammalia; Primates; Cercopithecidae.